This is a non-coding RNA of Sus scrofa (pig), 785 nucleotides long. NCBI's taxonomy places the organism in Eukaryota, Metazoa, Chordata, Mammalia, Artiodactyla, Suidae. The record is from RefSeq and is a predicted model, not a curated record.
CUGGACCAUCUGAGGAUUGUUGAAGGAGUUACAGCCCUCGCAGCACACGGGCCAACUCAGGCCCUUAGCGUUGAUGAGCAAACUCUCACCUGUGCCCCUUUCACGGAUGAAACAGCUGAUGCUCAGAGAGCCUGAGGGGGACCCAGUCAAGGCGCUGGAGCUUCUGAGACUCUGGUCUUUGGCAGAAUGAGAGCAGUGUGACCCUGGGCCCAUCCCCUACUCUGUGAGCAGAGUUCUCAGAACUUAGUGAGAAAAAUGGAAGUGCUGGCCCUGUCCUGGCUCCUGGAAGCUGCUCAGCUUCAUGACCUGGGCACCGUGUUAUCCCUAUUUCAUAGAUGAAGAACCACAGUUUUAAGGAGGUUAAGCAACUCACCCAAAGUCAUACAGUAAGUGGCGGAGCCCAGAUUUCAGCCCAGGGCAUCCAUCUCCAGAGCUGGACCUAUUGACCCAAAGCUCUUAAUGAUGAGAGAGGAACUUACAGACACCAAGGAAGACGCCCCCUACCCUACCCUGUUGCCUGCCUGUACCCUGGUCACACUCUACCUCCCAGUGUCCCACCCCUUCCUAGAGAUAGGAGGUAGAAUUUUCAUAUAUAUUUUUCAUAUACGUAGAAAUGAAUUUUUUCUCCUGAAUAUGAUCGUUCUGUUGUAUUGUUCUGUAGUUUGCUUUUCUUUUUUCUCAUUUGAUGCUGGCAUAUGUAGAUCUAUUUCUUUUUUUUAAAUUUCUACCUAAUAUUCCAUGGGAUGGGUUCACUGUAAUUCUCCUGUUGAUGGAUAAUGUGGGUU